Molecule: transfer RNA, 75 nt
Filed under: Thalassiosira profunda
Lineage: Eukaryota; Bacillariophyta; Thalassiosirophyceae; Thalassiosirales; Thalassiosiraceae
Description: tRNA-His
Rfam family: tRNA
About the family: Transfer RNA (tRNA) molecules are approximately 80 nucleotides in length. Their secondary structure includes four short double-helical elements and three loops (D, anti-codon, and T loops).
Source: RNAcentral
GCGAAUAUAGCUCAGUUAGGUUAGAGUAUUAGAUUGUGAUUCUAAACGUCAUGGGUUCAAAUCCCAUUGUUCGCC